GACUUGUCUCCCCUUAAAGAUGUGUUUCAGAACUACAGUGGUAACAGCCAAGAUCCUGAUACCAAAGCAGUGAAUGCCCUUCAGCGUGAGUUGCAGUGUUAAGAACUACACAGACUGGUUGGAAACACCCUGGUUUAUUCAUAGUGGGAAAUACGAAGUUCCUCUGAGCUGCUGCAACAAAAACUUUCACUCCUGCAAUGGGACUUUAGACUCACCCCAGGGCUGUCAAAUUAAACUUGAGGAGAAUUUACUGCUUGCAGUGCACAUCAUCAUUAUAAUAUCUUUAGUGGUUCUCUUUUUGGUAAUUUCUUGGAUUAUAGUGGCACAGCUAGUGAGGCAUCAACCCCCACAAGAGUAUCAAAUCCUGGACCAAGAAUAAAAACGCACUUAUGGAAUUAAAUUCUUGUGAUUUUUCUUCUGAAUGCUUGCACAUUAUAUAUAUAUAUAUAUAUUAUUGUUGAUUACUUUGAUGAUAUAUCAUUCCGUUCAAACUCGUACAAACUAGUGUCUCUUCACAAUACCUGUUCUUCUAGAAAUAUUUUAUAUGCACGCACAG
Long non-coding RNA from Sinocyclocheilus grahami, 556 nucleotides. RefSeq lists it as uncharacterized. NCBI's taxonomy places the organism in Eukaryota, Metazoa, Chordata, Actinopteri, Cypriniformes, Cyprinidae. The transcript has 3 exons. The record is from RefSeq and is a predicted model, not a curated record.